UGAAAGUUAUUUUUAGUAUUUUUUUGCAUGUAAUUUUUUGAUAAAUUAUUUUUUCUAAAUGGGUAAUUAUUUAUUAUUUUCAGUAUUAAAUUUUUAUUAAUUUAAGGGUUUUUAUUUGAUAAAAUAUUAUAUUUCAGAAUAAUGUUAUGCCAGCAUUCGCGGUUAUAUUUCAUGAUUAAAAUAAUUUUUUUUGGAAUUUUUAGGUUUUUUUAUAGUGAUUUAUUAAUUUAGGUGAAAUUUAUUAAUAAUUUGUUUUUUUUAAUAUAAUCUAGUAAGACUAUAAUUUAAACUAGGAUUAGAUACCCUAUUAUUUUAGAGUAAUUUGUUUUCCAGGGAGUAAAAAUUUUAAUAAAAUUUAAUAAAUCUGGCGGUUUUUAAAUCUUUUUAGAGGAACCUGUAAUUUAAAUGAUAGUCCACGAUAAAUUUUAUCUUUAUUUUCUUGUAUAUCUCUGUUGUUGAAUGUAAUUGAAGUUUUAUUUUCUUUUUAUAUUUUUGUAUAUUUAUGUUAGGUCAAGGUGCAGUUAUAUAAAGGUGUUUAUGGGUUACAUUAAUUAUUUUUUUUUAAUAUUUAUUUUUUAUUUAGGUUGAAUUUGGAUUUAAUAGUAAUUUUUUUUAUUAAAUUUUUUGAAUAAAGCUCUUGAUUAUGUACAUAUCGCCCGUCAUUCUCAUAAAGUGAGACAAGUCGUAACAAAGUAGAUGUAUUGGAAAAUGUAUCUAGAAU
This 721-nucleotide non-coding RNA is filed under the name Cylindratus longicephalus. The record is from RNAcentral. Lineage: Eukaryota; Metazoa; Arthropoda; Insecta; Hemiptera; Caliscelidae.